GAUCGCGAAGAUCUCGGUCCCGCGCUCGACGAGCGCUCGCCAGAAGCGUUCAUCAAACCUGACGUUGACGAUGUCCGAGGAAUUUGCGAAUCGUGAAAACUUUCAACAACGGAUCUCUUGGUUCUGGCAUCGAUGAAGAACGCAGCGAAAUGCGAUAAGUAAUGUGAAUUGCAGAAUUCAGUGAAUCAUCGAAUCUUUGAACGCACAUUGCGCCCUUCGGCACUCCGAAGGGCAUGCCUGUUCGAGCGUCAUUGCAAUCUCAAGCUUGGCUUGGUGCUGGGCCUCGCCCCCGCGGCGUGCCCGAAAUCCGAUGGCGGUCUGUCUGGACUUCGAGCGUAGCAAGAUUUCUGAUCCCGCGCUUGUGAAGCUCCGGACGUGCCCGGCCAGAACGUUCCCCUUUCUACGAUUGACCUCGGAUCAGGUAGGGAUACCCGCUGAACUUAAGCAUAUCAAUAAGCGGAGGAAAAGAAACCAACCGGGAUUGCCUCAGUAACGGCGAGUGAAGCGGCAACAGCUCAAAUUUGAAAUCUGGCCUCUUUCGGGGUCCGAGUUGUAAUUUGAAGAGGGUGUUUCGGGCGCGGCGCCGGCCUAAGUCCUUUGGAACAAGGCGUCAGAGAGGGUGAGAAUCCCGUACGCGGCCGGUGACCAAGCCCAUGUGAAACCCCUUCGAUGAGUCGAGUUGUUUGGGAAUGCAGCUCUAAAUGGGUGGUAUAUUUCAUCUAAAGCUAAAUACCGGCCAGAGACCGAUAGCGCACAAGUAGAGUGAUCGAAAGAUGAAAAGCACUUUGGAAAGAGAGUUAAACAGCACGUGAAAUUGUUGAAAGGGAAGCGCUUGCAACCAGACCUGUCGUGGGGUGAUCAGCCGUCGUUCUCGGCGGUG
This 880-nucleotide ribosomal RNA is filed under the name Calicium lenticulare. Its description in RNAcentral is "eukaryotic LSU rRNA". The stretch from base 408 to 880 matches the Rfam family "Eukaryotic large subunit ribosomal RNA", at positions 1 to 470 of the family's 3401-position model. The record is from RNAcentral. Lineage: Eukaryota; Fungi; Ascomycota; Lecanoromycetes; Caliciales; Caliciaceae.